RNAcentral lists this long non-coding RNA (258 nucleotides) under Chinchilla lanigera (long-tailed chinchilla). RNAcentral describes it as "lncRNA (ENSCLAG00000029111.1)". The record is from RNAcentral. Lineage: Eukaryota; Metazoa; Chordata; Mammalia; Rodentia; Chinchillidae.
CAUGUUGCUGGUCUCGCUGAUUACUCUGCACUUCCCGGAUUGGGGUCCUGUGUCUCGUGAGCUCCAGGUGGUCUGCCUGCCAGAGACUUGUGUGUGCCCAUAUGCCUGGUGCCUGGCCCGGUCCAAUGGCCCCAGGACCCUCGGACCCUGAAGAUGUGCCCUAGCACUCUGCUUUUCAGUCUUAUGGGUUCCACAUCCCUACCAGGGCCUUGGACAAUACAUAUGCUCUACACCUCUCCAGCUGUUCUGAGCCAUGUC